Molecule: long non-coding RNA, 407 nt
Organism: Eupeodes corollae
Lineage: Eukaryota; Metazoa; Arthropoda; Insecta; Diptera; Syrphidae
Exons: 3
Source: RefSeq, a predicted model, not a curated record
AACUAAUAAGUCUGGCUGGAUGCUGACGACAACGAAGCGACGAUGCUCUCCUUGCUCUGAUGAUUUCUAGAUUUGGUGUUUCAUUUGAUGAUGGUUCAUGGCUAAACCGGACUGUGCUGCUCUUUCUGAUUUAUAUACUUUAAGAAUUGAAAUUAGUUAAAUGCAUAAUAUGCCUUAUAUUUUGUAUCCAAACAGGCUUAAAAGACGUUAUGGCAGUUUAAGCCAAAAAAAGGAACCAAUUAUUUUUGUUUCAAUAAGAUCUCGCAAAAAGUGGCGAUAUGACAUGGCGGGCGGCUUGGCGACAACCUUGACUUUCGUCAUUAAAUAAUAUUAAAUUAUUUAGUGUUGGCUUAAUUUGCAUUAAUUUUUAAUGUUUGUUUUAGAGUUUUUUUUUUGUAUUGUAUCUU